AGCGAACGCUGGCGGCAGGCCUAAUACAUGCAAGUCGAACGGUCUCUUCGGAGGCAGUGGCGGACGGGUGAGUAACGCGUGGGAAUAUGCCCUUUGGUACGGAACAACUGAGGGAAACUUCAGCUAAUACCGUAUGUGCCCUUCGGGGAAAGAUUUAUCGCCAUUGGAGUAGCCCGCGUUGGAUUAGGUAGUUGGUGGGGUAAAGGCCUACCAAGCCUACGAUCCAUAGCUGGUCUGAGAGGAUGAUCAGCCACACUGGGACUGAGACACGGCCCAGACUCCUACGGGAGGCAGCAGUAGGGAAUCUUGCGCAAUGGGCGAAAGCCUGACGCAGCCAUGCCGCGUGAGUGAUGAAGGUCUUAGGAUUGUAAAAUUCUUUCACCGGGGAAGAUAAUGACGGUACCCGGAGAAGAAGCCCCGGCUAACUUCGUG
RNAcentral lists this ribosomal RNA (432 nucleotides) under uncultured bacterium. RNAcentral's name for it is "bacterial SSU rRNA". It matches the Rfam family "Bacterial small subunit ribosomal RNA", at positions 29 to 507 of the family's 1533-position model. The record is from RNAcentral.